RNAcentral lists this transfer RNA (83 nucleotides) under Candidatus Pacearchaeota archaeon. RNAcentral describes it as "tRNA-Ser". It matches the Rfam family "tRNA". From Rfam's summary of the family: Transfer RNA (tRNA) molecules are approximately 80 nucleotides in length. Their secondary structure includes four short double-helical elements and three loops (D, anti-codon, and T loops). Further hydrogen bonds mediate the characteristic L-shaped molecular structure. tRNAs have two regions of fundamental functional importance: the anti-codon, which is responsible for specific mRNA codon recognition, and the 3' end, to which the tRNAs corresponding amino acid is attached (by aminoacyl-tRNA synthetases). tRNAs cope with the degeneracy of the genetic code in two manners: having more than one tRNA (with a specific anti-codon) for a particular amino acid; and 'wobble' base-pairing, i.e. permitting non-standard base-pairing at the 3rd anti-codon position. The record is from RNAcentral. Lineage: Archaea; Nanobdellati.
GCCAGGAUGGCGGAGUGGUCUAACGCGCUGGUCUUGAGAACCAGUUCCUUCGGGAAGCACAGGUUCGAAUCCUGUUCCUGGCG